CAUGUAGCUCAGUCGGUAGAGCACUUCCUUGGUAAGGAAGAGGUCACCGGUUCGAUUCCGGUCAUG
Molecule: transfer RNA, 66 nt
Filed under: marine eukaryotic metagenome
Rfam family: tRNA
About the family: Transfer RNA (tRNA) molecules are approximately 80 nucleotides in length. Their secondary structure includes four short double-helical elements and three loops (D, anti-codon, and T loops).
Source: RNAcentral